AUGGCUAUUUAUCUUGCCUUGUCGAUGGGAGUGCUGCUGCUGCUGGUCCUCACACCGGCGGCCAGCGGCAUCUACUUCACCAGCGAGGAGCUUUCGUCGGAGGAGUCGAUGCGUGCCUUGUACAAUCGAUGGUGCGCCAAGUACCCGGAGGGGCGCGGCUGCAGCCUCGACAACAAGGCCGCGCGAUUCGAGAUCUUCAAGGCGCACGCGGCAAAAAUCGAGAAAUUGAACAAAGGUGCCGUCCACAGCCGGCCACACCUCAACCAAUUCUCGGAUCUAACCAAAGAGGAGUUCAUCAGCAGCUUUGCAUCCUGCUACGCCAGCGGUGGAGAGCACCACCAAGGGAACGAGAUCAUCUCCAGCGACAAGUUUGCCUUCACCAACAACGACAUCCCCAGCCACAUCGACUGGCGCGAGAAGGGCGCCGUGACAGAUGUCAGGUCCCAAGGAGAUGUAUGCGGAUCAUGCUGGGCUUUUGCGGCGGCAGGGGCAGUGGAGGGCAUCAACAUGAUCAAGAACAACGAGCUGGUGCCCCUGUCCGUGCAGGAGCUGGUGGACUGCAGCACAACAAAGGGCUGCAAAAGUGGCAACGCUUGGCGGGCGUUCGAGUACAUCAUCGACAAUGAUGGGAUUUCCUCAUGGGAGAGUAACCCAUAUCAGGGCAGGGUGGGAACGGUGUGGAAUUGUCACGAUGCAAACAAAAUCGUGGCUAUUGGGGGUUAUGAGCUGGUUCCCCCAAACAAUGAAACCGCCCUAAUGCAGGCUGUGGCAUCUCAACCAGUGGUGGUGGGGGUUGAUAGCAGCGGGUGGAAAGAACUACGAGAUUUAAAGGAAAUCUUCACAGGGCCAUGCAAGAGCAACAUCUCCCACCAGGUAUUGGUGGUCGGAUACGGGACGGAGGAGAGGUACAGUGAUGGAAGGCUGAUCAAGAGCACUAACUACUGGUUAAUCAAGAAUUCCUGGGGCAGCGGGUGGGGGGACGGGGGAUACAUUCGCCUCGAGCGGGGAUAUGAAAAAGAAGGAGGGAAAUGUGGCAUUCUAAAGGAUCCGAUGUACCCAGUGGAUCCUGUCAUGCUUGAGUUUUAG
RNAcentral lists this ribosomal RNA (1086 nucleotides) under Triticum aestivum (bread wheat). RNAcentral's name for it is "partial small subunit ribosomal RNA". The record is from RNAcentral. Lineage: Eukaryota; Viridiplantae; Streptophyta; Magnoliopsida; Poales; Poaceae.